GAAGAGCACAGAAACAUUGUGACGAGCAGCAGGAAGAGGAAAGCAGUGCUUCAGAUCCAAGCCUGAAGAUACACCUGAUAUUUCCUAGAGACGUAUACGCAGACAAAGGAUAAGGACUUUCCAUUGAUAUCACAAUGACUAGUCAAGGUACUAAAAGAAAGCGCGAUCACGAAUCGUCUGACUUGAGUAUAGAGUCACCACUGACUUCAG
Megalobrama amblycephala (Wuchang bream) is the source of this 210-nucleotide long non-coding RNA. RefSeq lists it as uncharacterized. The record is from RefSeq and is a predicted model, not a curated record. The transcript has 3 exons. NCBI's taxonomy places the organism in Eukaryota, Metazoa, Chordata, Actinopteri, Cypriniformes, Xenocyprididae.